UCCCUGGUGGCUCAGAGGGUAAAGAAUCUGCCUGCAAUGCAGGAGACCCAGGUUUGAUUCCUGGUUCAGGAA
This 72-nucleotide transfer RNA is filed under the name Capra hircus (goat). It matches the Rfam family "tRNA". Rfam says of the family: Transfer RNA (tRNA) molecules are approximately 80 nucleotides in length. Their secondary structure includes four short double-helical elements and three loops (D, anti-codon, and T loops). Lineage: Eukaryota; Metazoa; Chordata; Mammalia; Artiodactyla; Bovidae. The record is from Rfam by way of RNAcentral. RNAcentral also lists the same sequence under 1 other name.